Molecule: transfer RNA, 73 nt
Filed under: Trichonephila clavata
Lineage: Eukaryota; Metazoa; Arthropoda; Arachnida; Araneae; Nephilidae
Rfam family: tRNA
About the family: Transfer RNA (tRNA) molecules are approximately 80 nucleotides in length. Their secondary structure includes four short double-helical elements and three loops (D, anti-codon, and T loops).
Source: Rfam by way of RNAcentral
GUCCCUGUAGUGCAGUGGAUAGCUCGUUGGACUUCUAAUUCAAAGGUCGUGGGUUCGAAUCCUACCUGGGAUG